GUCCGCAAGGAUGAGUACAGCGGCGCACGGGUGCGUAACACGUGGGUAAUCUGCCCUGAAGCCCGGAAUAACCUCCCGAAAGGGAAGCUAAUGCCGGAUAAGACCACGGGAGCCUCGGCUCCAGCGGGAAAAGGUGGCCUCUGUACACAAGCUAUCACUUCAGGAUGAGCCCGCGGCCCAUCAGCUCGUUGGCGGGGUAACGGCCCACCAAGGCUACGACGGGUAGCUGGUCUGAGAGGACGAUCAGCCACACUGGAACUGAGACACGGUCCAGACUCCUACGGGAGGCAGCAGUGGGGAAUCUUGCGCAAUGGGCGAAAGCCUGACGCAGCAACGCCGCGUGUGUGAUGAAGGUCUUCGGAUCGUAAAGCACUGUCGGGAGGAAAGAACAAGCCUGUGGCUAACAUCCACGGGCCUUGACGGUACCUCCAAAGGAAGCACCGGCUAACUCUGUGCCAGCAGCCGCGGUAAUACAGAGGGUGCAAGCGUUGUUCGGAAUUAUUGGGCGUAAAGCGCGUGUAGGCGGCCUAGCAAGUUGGGUGUGAAAGCCCUCGGCUCAACCGAGGAAGUGCGCCCAAAACUACAAGGCUUGAGUACCGGAGAGGAUGGCGGAAUACCCGGUGUAGAGGUGAAAUUCGUAGAUAUCGGGUGGAACACCAGUGGCGAAGGCGGCCAUCUGGACGGAUACUGACGCUGAGAUGCGAAAGCGUGGGGAGCAAACAGGAUUAGAUACCCUGGUAGUCCACGCCGUAAACGAUGAGCGCUAGGUGUUGUGGGUGUUGACCCCCGCAGUGCCGCAGCUAACGCAUUAAGCGCUCCGCCUGGGAAGUACGGCCCGCAGGCUAA
This 846-nucleotide ribosomal RNA is filed under the name uncultured bacterium. Its description in RNAcentral is "bacterial SSU rRNA". It matches the Rfam family "Bacterial small subunit ribosomal RNA", at positions 75 to 897 of the family's 1533-position model. The record is from RNAcentral.